This 72-nucleotide non-coding RNA is filed under the name unclassified sequences. Its description in RNAcentral is "DUF3800-IX RNA". It matches the Rfam family "DUF3800-IX RNA". From Rfam's summary of the family: Actinobacteria, Firmicutes (1 example), Nitrospirae, Proteobacteria, Verrucomicrobia (1 example). Nearby to DUF3800 The record is from Rfam by way of RNAcentral.
GACCCUGUUUUCGAAUUGUCACCGUAUGGUGCGCGUUCUAAGCAAACGCUUAGAUAGAAACCAGGGUCGCUU